Molecule: non-coding RNA, 83 nt
Organism: Manacus vitellinus (golden-collared manakin)
Lineage: Eukaryota; Metazoa; Chordata; Aves; Passeriformes; Pipridae
Source: Rfam
ACCAGGAUGGCCGAGUGGUGAAGGCGUUGGACUUAAGAUCCAAUGGGCACACGCCCGCGUGGGUUCGAACCCCACUUCUGGUA